GGUGAACGCUAGCGGCAGGCUUAAUACAUGCAAGUCGAGGGGGCAGCAAUGUCACCGGCGAACGGGUGCGUAACACGUAUGCAACCUACCUAUAUCAGGGGGAUAGCCCGAGGAAACUCGGAUUAAUACCGCAUAACAUUAGGAUCGGCAUCGAUUCUGAUUGAAAGAUUUAUUGGAUAUAGAUGGGCAUGCGUAGGAUUAGCUAGUUGGUAAGGUAACGGCUUACCAAGGCUACGAUCCUUAGGGGCUCUGAGCGGAGUAUCCCCCACACUGGCACUGGGAUACGGGCCAGACUCCUACGGGGGGCAGCAGUAGGGAAUAUUGGGCAAUGGGCGAAAGCCUGACCCAGCCAUGCCGCGUGCAGGAAGACGGCCCUCUGGGUUGUAAACUGCUUUUGAAGGGGAAGAAAGGUAUGCUUGCGAGCGUAAUUGACGGUACCAUUAGAAUAAGCCACGGCUAACUACGUGCCAGCAGCCGCCGUAA
This 483-nucleotide ribosomal RNA is filed under the name uncultured bacterium. RNAcentral describes it as "partial 16S ribosomal RNA". It matches the Rfam family "Bacterial small subunit ribosomal RNA", at positions 28 to 523 of the family's 1533-position model. The record is from RNAcentral.